UCUCCUGGAAAACGGGUGGUAAUGCCGGAUGUUCCACAUGAUCGCAUGUGAUUGUGGGAAAGAUUCUAUCGGCGUGGGAUGGGGUCGCGUCCUAUCAGCUUGUUGGUGAGGUAACGGCUCACCAAGGCUUCGACGGGUAGCCGGCCUGAGAGGGCGACCGGCCACAUUGGGACUGAGAUACGGCCCAGACUCCUACGGGAGGCAGCAGUGGGGAAUAUUGCACAAUGGGCGCAAGCCUGAUGCAGCGACGCCGCGUGAGGGAUGGAGGCCUUCGGGUUGUAAACCUCUUUUGUUUGGGAGCAAGCCUUCGGGUGAGUGUACCUUUCGAAUAAGCGCCGGCUAACUACGUGCCAGCAGCCGCGGUAAUACGUAGGGCGCAAGCGUUAUCCGGAUUUAUUGGGCGUAAAGGGCUCGUAGGCGGCUCGUCGCGUCCGGUGUGAAAGUCCAUCGCUUAACGGUGGAUCUGCGCCGGGUACGGGCGGGCUGGAGUGCGGUAGGGGAGACUGGAAUUCCCGGUGUAACGGUGGAAUGUGUAGAUAU
This 540-nucleotide ribosomal RNA is filed under the name Bifidobacterium bifidum. RNAcentral's name for it is "bacterial SSU rRNA". It matches the Rfam family "Bacterial small subunit ribosomal RNA", at positions 146 to 697 of the family's 1533-position model. Lineage: Bacteria; Bacillati; Actinomycetota; Actinomycetes; Bifidobacteriales; Bifidobacteriaceae. The record is from RNAcentral.